GAAUUCGCCCUUAGAGUCCUUCCUGGCUCAGGACGAACGCUGGCGGCGUGCUUAACACAUGCAAGUCGAACGGAGCACCCUUGAAGGAGUUUUCGGACAACGGAUGGGAAUGCUUAGUGGCGGACUGGUGAGUAACGCGUGAGGAACCUGCCUUCCAGAGGGGGACAACAGUUGGAAACGACUGCUAAUACCGCAUGAUGCGUUGGAGCCGCAUGACUCCGACGUCAAAGAUUUAUCGCUGGAAGAUGGCCUCGCGUCUGAUUAGCUAGUUGGUGAGGUAACGGCCCACCAAGGCGACGAUCAGUAGCCGGACUGAGAGGUUGGCCGGCCACAUUGGGACUGAGAUACGGCCCAGACUCCUACGGGAGGCAGCAGUGGGGAAUAUUGGGCAAUGGACGCAAGUCUGACCCAGCAACGCCGCGUGAAGGAAGAAGGCUUUCGGGUUGUAAACUUCUUUUAAGGGGGAAGAGUAGAAGACGGUACCCCUUGAAUAAGCCACGGCUAACUACGUGCCAGCAGCCGCGGUAAUACGUAGGUGGCAAGCGUUGUCCGGAUUUACUGGGUGUAAAGGGCGUGCAGCCGGAGAGACAAGUCAGAUGUGAAAUCCACGGGCUCAACCCGUGAACUGCAUUUGAAACUGUUUCCCUUGAGUGUCGGAGAGGUAAUCGGAAUUCCUUGUGUAGCGGUGAAAUGCGUAGAUAUAAGGAAGAACACCAGUGGCGAAGGCGGAUUACUGGACGAUAACUGACGGUGAGGCGCGAAAGCGUGGGGAGCAAACAGGAUUAGAUACCCUGGUAGUCCACGCUGUAAACGAUCGAUACUAGGUGUGCGGGGGACUGACCCCCUGCGUGCCGGAGUUAACACAAUAAGUAUCGCACCUGGGGAGUACGAUCGCAAGGUUGAAACUCAAAGGAAUUGACGGGGGCCCGCACAAGCGGUGGAUUAUGUGGUUUAAUUCGAAGCAACGCGAAGAACCUUACCAGGGCUUGACAUCCUACUAACGAAGUAGAGAUACAUCAGGUGCCCUUCGGGGAAAGUAGAGACAGGUGGUGCAUGGUUGUCGUCAGCUCGUGUCGUGAGAUGUUGGGUUAAGUCCCGCAACGAGCGCAACCCCUAUUGUUAGUUGCUACGCAAGAGCACUCUAGCGAGACUGCCGUUGACAAAACGGAGGAAGGCGGGGACGACGUCAAAUCUUCAUGCCCCUUAUGUCCUGGGCUACACACGUAAUACAAUGGCGGUCAACAAAGGGAUGCAAAGCCGCGAGGCAGAGCGAACCCCAAAAAGCCGUCCCAGUUCGGAUAGCAGGCUGCAACCCGCCUGCGUGAAGUCGGAAUCGCUAGUAAUCGCGGAUCAGCAUGCCGCGGUGAAUACGAAAGCGGGCCUUGUACUCUCCGCCCGUCA
Molecule: ribosomal RNA, 1401 nt
Filed under: uncultured bacterium
Lineage: Bacteria
Description: bacterial SSU rRNA
Rfam family: Bacterial small subunit ribosomal RNA
Source: RNAcentral